This 497-nucleotide ribosomal RNA is filed under the name uncultured bacterium. RNAcentral describes it as "partial 16S ribosomal RNA". It matches the Rfam family "Bacterial small subunit ribosomal RNA", at positions 28 to 507 of the family's 1533-position model. The record is from RNAcentral.
GAUGAACGCUGGCGGCGUGCCUAAUACAUGCAAGUCGAGCGAACGGACGAGAAGCUUGCUUCUCUGAUGUUAGCGGCGGACGGGUGAGUAACACGUGGAUAACCUACCUAUAAGACUGGGAUAACUUCGGGAAACCGGAGCUAAUACCGGAUAAUAUUUUGAACCGCAUGGUUCAAAAGUGAAAGGCGGUCUUGCUGUCACUUAUAGAUGGAUCCGCGCUGCAUUAGCUAGUUGGUAAGGUAACGGCUUACCAAGGCAACGAUGCAUAGCCGACCUGAGAGGGGGAGAGGACAAACUGGAACUGAGAGAAGGUCAAGAGGACUAAGGGAGGCAGCAGUAGGGAAUAUUACGCAAUGGGCGAAAGCCUGAAGGAGCAACGCAGAGGGAGGGAUGAAGGUCUUCGGAGCGUAAAACUUUGUGAUUAGGGAAGAAAAAAUGUGUAAGUAAAUAUGCACGUCUUGACGGUAACUAAUAAGAAAGCAAGGGAUAACUACGUG